Non-coding RNA from Arabis alpina (gray rockcress), 107 nucleotides. The record is from Rfam. Lineage: Eukaryota; Viridiplantae; Streptophyta; Magnoliopsida; Brassicales; Brassicaceae.
ACUCCAUGAUGAGGACAAGACCUAGUACAACCCUUCAAUCUUUCUCAAGCUUCAUAUAGAGCUUCAUUUGGACCUUGCUUGAAGCUUGUAAUAUCAUUUCUAAUCCG